RNAcentral lists this ribosomal RNA (497 nucleotides) under uncultured bacterium. Its description in RNAcentral is "partial 16S ribosomal RNA". It matches the Rfam family "Bacterial small subunit ribosomal RNA", at positions 899 to 1397 of the family's 1533-position model. The record is from RNAcentral.
ACUCAAAUGAAUUGACGGGGGCCCGCACAAGCGGUGGAGCAUGUGGUUUAAUUCGACGCAACGCGAAGAACCUUACCCAGGCUUGACAUGCAUCGGACGAGUGUGGAAACACACUUUCCCUUCGGGGCCGGUGCACAGGUGCUGCAUGGCUGUCGUCAGCUCGUGUCGUGAGAUGUUGGGUUAAGUCCCGCAACGAGCGCAACCCUUGUCCUUAGUUGCUACGGGUAAUGCCGAGCCCUCUAAGGAGACUGCCGGUGGUAAACCGGAGGAAGGUGGGGAUGACGUCAAGUCCUCAUGGCCCUUACGCCUGGGGCUACACACGUGCUACAAUGGCCGGUACAAAGGGUUCCGAAACCGCGAGGUGGAGGCAAUCCCACAAAACCGGUCUCAGUUCGGAUUGCAGUCUGCAACUCGACUGCAUGAAGUUGGAAUCGCUAGUAAUCGCUGAUCAGCAGGCAGCGGUGAAUACGUUCCCGGGCCUUGUACACACCGCCCGU